Molecule: transfer RNA, 74 nt
Filed under: Pseudomonadota bacterium
Lineage: Bacteria; Pseudomonadati; Pseudomonadota
Description: Proteobacteria bacterium tRNA-Thr
Rfam family: tRNA
About the family: Transfer RNA (tRNA) molecules are approximately 80 nucleotides in length. Their secondary structure includes four short double-helical elements and three loops (D, anti-codon, and T loops). Further hydrogen bonds mediate the characteristic L-shaped molecular structure. tRNAs have two regions of fundamental functional importance: the anti-codon, which is responsible for specific mRNA codon recognition, and the 3' end, to which the tRNAs corresponding amino acid is attached (by aminoacyl-tRNA synthetases). tRNAs cope with the degeneracy of the genetic code in two manners: having more than one tRNA (with a specific anti-codon) for a particular amino acid; and 'wobble' base-pairing, i.e. permitting non-standard base-pairing at the 3rd anti-codon position.
Source: RNAcentral
CCCCAUGGCUCAACUGGUAGAGCAACUGAUUUGUAAUCAGUAGGUUGGAGGUUCAAGUCCUUCUGGGGGCACCA